RNAcentral lists this ribosomal RNA (477 nucleotides) under uncultured bacterium. RNAcentral's name for it is "partial 16S ribosomal RNA". It matches the Rfam family "Bacterial small subunit ribosomal RNA", at positions 28 to 507 of the family's 1533-position model. The record is from RNAcentral.
GAUUAACGCUGGCGGCGUGCCUAACACAUGCAAGUCGAACGAUGAAACUUAACUGAUUUCUUCGGAAUGAUUUUAAGUGGAUUAGUGGCGGACGGGUGAGUAACGCGUGAGUAACCUGCCUUGGAGAAGGGGAUAGCCUUUGGAAACGAAGAAUAAUACCCUAUGAUAUGAUACUAUCUCAUGAUAUUAUCAUCAAAGAUUUAUCGCUCUAAGAUGGACUUGCGUCUGAUUAGUUAGUUGGUGAGGUAACAGCUCACCAAGGCAGCGAUCAGUAGCCGGCUUGAGAGAGUGUACGGCCACAUUGGGACUGAGACACGGCCCAGACUCCUACGGGAGGCAGCAGUGGGGAAUUUUGCACAAUGGGGGAAACCCUGAUGCAGCGACGCCGCGUGAUUUAGAAGGCCUUCGGGUUGUAAAAAUCUUUUGUAUGGGAAGAAAAUGACAGUACCAUACGAAUAAGGACCGGCUAAUUACGUG